AGCACCCGGAGCUGGCAGACAAGAAUGUGCCCAACCUUCAUGUCAUGAAGGCCAUGCAGUCUCUCAAGUCCCGAGGCUACGUGAAGGAACAAUUACCUUCAUCUGCCCCCAGAGAUUGUGCCUGCCAUCCUACGCCGUAGCCGUCCAGAGACUGGCAGGCCUCGGCCUAAAGGUCUGGAGGGUGAGCGACCUGCGAGACUCACAAGAGGGGAAGCUGACAGAGAUACCUACAGACGGAGUGCUGUGCCACCUGGUGCCGACAAGAAAGCCGAGGCUGGGGCUGGGUCAGCAACCGAAUUCCAGUUUAGAGGCGGAUUUGGUCGUGGACGUGGUCAGCCACCUCAGUAAAAUUGGAGAGGAUUCUUUUGCAUUGAAUAAACUUAUAGCC
RNAcentral lists this long non-coding RNA (388 nucleotides) under Homo sapiens (human). Its description in RNAcentral is "non-protein coding lnc-CHRM4-2:1". The record is from RNAcentral. Lineage: Eukaryota; Metazoa; Chordata; Mammalia; Primates; Hominidae.